This is a long non-coding RNA of Canis lupus familiaris (dog), 1676 nucleotides long. RefSeq lists it as uncharacterized. The transcript is spliced from 2 exons. Lineage: Eukaryota; Metazoa; Chordata; Mammalia; Carnivora; Canidae. The record is from RefSeq and is a predicted model, not a curated record.
CCAGCACGGUUGCCAUGGAGAGCGCCCCACCCCCGUAUCAUUUGGGGCUUUGAGACCCUAGAAGGAAAGCACCAGGAAACCCCAAAGCGUUCUCCCUCCCGAAAACAAUGGCUUCCAGGGUCUGUGCCAGACACAAUCACAGCACCCGAAAUAGACUCAUUGUCCUCUUGUGCAAUAUCCAGGAAUUUGGUGAAACUCAUCAUUUUUCAGGUUACCGAUAAUGCAAGUCUGGAAACUGAAACAGGAAGGAACACAGGCUGAAAAAGCUUUUCUCCAGCCCACCGCGUUCCUCUCUCCAGAUGCAAGAUAGGUUUUUUUUGUUUGUUUGUUUUUGGGGUUUUUUUUCCAGCAGUACUUUGGUGGGGUUAAAAUUAGCUGGCAGCAUUCUGGUCACAUGCUAGACAGCAAAACAAAAGGGGGUUGUUCCCUGGCAGCUCCUGAAGCAGUCCCGACAGACCUUCCUAAUCCACGGACUUCUGGGAAGCUGGCUCCUCAGGCCCUGGUAUGGAGGGGCCUCGCCACCGCGUCCCCUCUGUCGUCACCCUGCUGUAACAGGGCAGAGCACGGGCGGUGUCCAUGCUGCCCAGGAUCUCGGAGCCCGCCUCCAUCUGGGAAGGCACUCAAGGGCCACAAAAUGGCUUUUGCAAAUCUUCCCACUUGGGAGAGGAAGGCUGAAAAAAGGAAGAACUUCUGAAGCCAACAAAUCAGCAAACACCACAAGGACACGGAGAGAAAGAGGAAGGGCAGUGUCUGGAAUCAUGGACGUGGGCCUCGUCUUCCGGGGGAAUGGGCUGCUCUUCGCAUGCCUAAAACCUAAAAACUCAUACAUCCAAGCUCUUAAAACUGUCACCAGAAGCCCUGGAUGAAAAAUGCAGCCUCUGAUUCAUGCGCACAGUCAGGAAACAUCCCUUGCGCUCAGUACAGAAACAUGUCCGUCAACUUGGGAAAGGAAUCACCGCCACGAAAUGUGCUUUUGGCUUGCCAAAGCUUAGCAGCUGCCAGAGCCAAAAACCCAGCUGCCUGGAUUGUCUGGGGAAGGUGGUGGCUGGAGUGGGGGUGGGGGGAUAUAGAGAAAGAGGGGCUUUCUGAAUCACCUGAUUUGUGCCUCCACCUCCUGUUUAAUUCCAAGCCAAAACCCACCUCGAAAUGUCCCGAGGGCCGACUACUCCUAAAAAUCGUGCUUAGCACUACCCCUUCCAGCUCUGAGCCUGCUGUCAAGGUGAAGCAGAUGGCUUUUAUUGAUUAAUUUAUUUAUUUGGAAGGGGCUACUUUGAAGUCAGGAAAUUCCAGCGAGACAGAGUGCGUUGCCCUGGCCAGAAUUGUUGUGACAAUCAUAAGCAGACACCCAGAGAGAGGUGGGUUAAAAGAAACUGCAGCUAGGCUCUGGGAACUCGGAUUUUUUCGUCUUUCCCCCGUCCUGGCCUCCAUGUCAGCCAUGCGCUUAUGAAGAGACAGCUCCUUUGCCUCUACAUUCGGUGGUAUUCAAGGGUUUGUGUGAGCUCCGUAGGGCCCGCUUUGUCAAAGGGGCUUCAUAAACCAAACAGGCCUCGGACUUGGAUCUCAUCCUGAAGCCCUCGUUAUAGAGACAGACCCAAACAGAAACGUACCCCCCCCCCCAACGCCCAGCACAUAAAGUCCUCUUUAAUAAACAUACACCAUUUUUCAGUGGAACAGCC